This 253-nucleotide ribosomal RNA is filed under the name uncultured bacterium. Its description in RNAcentral is "partial 16S ribosomal RNA". It matches the Rfam family "Bacterial small subunit ribosomal RNA", at positions 524 to 776 of the family's 1533-position model. The record is from RNAcentral.
UACGGGGGGGGCAAGCGUUGUUCGGAAUUACUGGGCGUAAAGGGCGCGUAGGCGGCCUACUAAGUCGGACGUGAAAUCCCUCGGCUCAACCGAGGAACUGCGUCCGAUACUGGCAGGCUGGAAUCCGGGAGAGGGAUGUGGAAUUCCAGGUGUAGCGGUGAAAUGCGUAGAUAUCUGGAGGAACACCGGUGGCGAAGGCGGCGUUCUGGACUGUGUCUGACACUGAAAAACGAAAGCCAGGGGAGCAAACGGG